Raphanus sativus (radish) is the source of this 2106-nucleotide long non-coding RNA. RefSeq lists it as uncharacterized. The transcript has 4 exons. Lineage: Eukaryota; Viridiplantae; Streptophyta; Magnoliopsida; Brassicales; Brassicaceae. The record is from RefSeq and is a predicted model, not a curated record.
GAGAUACGACAUAAAACUAGGGCUGUUAGGAUAUUUUCUCUCUCGGCAAAAAAUAGGGUUUCAACAAAGUAUUGAUUUUGCAGCUUCAGCUUUAAACUUUCCACAGUCCAGAUUAAAACUCCCCAAUGGUCGGAAGAAGUCGGCGAGGAUCCCAAACCAGGUUCUGUCAAAGGUCACUCCAUGGAUAGAAGCUUCUAAAGGUUGUUGACAACCACAAUUCAAUUCUGCUCUCAUUGAGUUGUAUCCAGUUCUCGAAGUUACCAGUGAUAUAGGUACUCAAUAUAAAUUAUAUAAUGAUUGGUUAUAACCUAUAGCUUCCGUACAAAAGAAGUAGUUGGAAAGACCAACACUGUACCAAAAAUACAUGGGGGAAUUUCUGUGCUUUUGUUGGCCUUUUUGGCGUCUCGGGCUCCCUGUUUGGAGUCUCCUCAACCAUCAAACCGUAUCUUCUGUCUUCAUGACACUACUACCAGGUGGUUGGACUUCUAUAUCUCAUGCUAUGAGCCUAUGAGGACUUAAUUGUUUAGUUUAGAACAGGGUUUAAAAAGUGCUGAGGCCUUCACUAAAUGCAUGAGGCGACCUGUGUUGGGGGAUUCACAGCUUAACAAGUUGUUUUGGAAGCCUCAAGCCUCAUCACGUGUCACUGGUUAUGCGACUAAAGUGACAGAUGCAAAGUUAAAACAGAUGCACUGAUGCUGAACAAAGGUCAGAAGAAACUGAUUAGAGAGUUGGAGACACUAGUUAAUUCAACGAAGCUGCUGGUAUCUAAAGCAACUCCCCACAUGACUCCAGCACCACCCAGUGCCACAAGAACUCUACUAGGAGACACCAAGAUCGGUAGCAACUUGCUAAGAAACCGUUGAACUCUCCCUAUCAUUUGACAAUACAUCUAUUGAGUUUGCUUACUCAUGCUGAUAAAUAUUUUGAGACCUAAUGACACAUGUAUACCAAAAACUUUCCCUCACUUUGUCUAUAUGAAUGAUCCAGCCUUCCAUUGGGUGUGAUAGAGAGAGCAACAAUAACCAGCUAUAACUCGGGACAAGUUCAAAGCAAAAUUGAUGGAAUGACUCUUGUGCUAAUCUAAUUUUAGACCACUUUCUAAGAAAGGGAUAAUUUCUCUGAGAGAGACUAUGCUCUCUCAAAAAAAGAGAGAGAUUCUCUUCCUGACAGAAAGAGAUGCUCUCACUCUAACCAAAGAGAAUUAUCUCCAAAAGAACGAACUCUCUACAAAAGAACAUAUUAUCUCUUGGAAGAAAAGACUCACUAUUAAAAGAGUCUCUCUAAAAGGAGUGUCUUUCUCUAAAAAAGAAAAAAAGAGAGCCAAUUCUUUUUUCUCAGAAGAAAAAAAUCGACUCUAUAUGAAGAAAAGAGAGUCGACUCUCUCUAAGAAAAGAGAGCAUGUCUCAAGCGAAAGAACUAAUUCUCUAAGGAACGAGCAAAUUAUUUCUUGGAAAGAAAACUCUCCCAUUGAGGAAGCAGUCUAUGGCAAGUAAAGUCUGGGAGAGAUAUAGAGCAGAAUUUUCUGGGUACAAAGACCUUUAGAUCCAAGAGGUAGUAGAGUCUGGGAGUGCAGUCUCUCUAGAAAAGCUAAUUCUUUUUUUAGUACAAAGAUCUAUAGAGGGAGGGUACAAGCUGCUCAUAACCUGAGUCCAUAAACAUGUUGACAUCAAUUGAGAUUCAGAAUUUGACAGUAGCAUGAGCUCAUAGGUGUCAUGUUCAAAUGAUGUGAGGACUUCAAACCCACAACAUAUGUUUACUUAUUCGUAAAUGUUUUUUAGAAGUUGUAGCUAGAUGUAGAUCAACAAAAGGGGAACAAGGUGCAUGCAUGAUCAAAGGGAUUUAAAUGUAUGUUCUUUUGAGGUCUCUGAACAACAAACUCCAAUGUCACCAAUCAGUUUUGCCUUAAAUUAGUAAUGUAAAUGUAUUUUGAAAGAUAUCAUGAUUCUAGUAUUGGCUCUAGAUGGAAACUUAAAGAUUUCAUAAGUCGCAAAGCAAAAACUUUUUUUCAUAGGCUCAUCCUCCUCAACCAUUCACCUCGAGGAUAUAGUUGGGUUUUAAGAAGUAGGGUGCAUAUGAAUGCACAAAGACUUCAAAUAUUUCUUUUAA